GAGACACGGUCCAGACACCUACGGGUGGCAGCAGUCGAGAAUCAUUCACAAUGGGGGAAACCCUGAUGGUGCGACGCCGCGUGGGGGAAUGAAGGUCUUCGGAUUGUAAACCCCUGUCAUGUGGGAGCAAAUUAAAAAGAUAGUACCACAAGAGGAAGAGACGGCUAACUCUGUGCCAGCAGCCGCGGUAAUACAGAGGUCUCAAGCGUUGUUCGGAAUCACUGGGCGUAAAGCGUGCGUAGGCUGUUUCGUAAGUCGUGUGUGAAAGGCGCGGGCUCAACCCGCGGACGGCACAUGAUACUGCGAGACUAGAGUAAUGGAGGGGGAACCGGAAUUCUCGGUGUAGCAGUGAAAUGCGUAGAUAUCGAGAGGAACACUCGUGGCGAAGGCGGGUUCCUGGACAUUAACUGACGCUGAGGCACGAAGGCCAGGGGAGCGAAAGGGAUUAGAUACCCCUGUAGUCCUGGCAGUAAACGGUGCACGCUUGGUGUGCGGGGAAUCGACCCCCUGCGUGCCGGAGCUAACGCGUUAAGCGUGCCGCCUGGGGAGUACGGUCGCAAGAUUAAAACUCAAAGAAAUUGACGGGGACCCGCACAAGCGGUGGAGUAUGUGGCUUAAUUCGAUGCAACGCGAAGAACCUUACCUGGGCUUGACAUGUAAUGAACAACAUGUGAAAGCAUGCGACUCUUCGGAGGCGUUACACAGGUGCUGCAUGGCCGUCGUCAGCUCGUGUCGUGAGAUGUUUGGUUAAGUCCAGCAACGAGCGCAACCCCUGUUGCCAGUUACCAGCACGUGAAGGUGGGGACUCUGGCGAGACUGCCCAGAUCAACUGGGAGGAAGGUGGGGACGACGUCAGGUCAGUAUGGCCCUUAUGCCCAGGGCUGCACACGUACUACAAUGCCCAGUACAGAGGGGGCCGAAGCCGCGAGGCGGAGGAAAUCCUGAAAACUGGGCCCAGUUCGGACUGUAGGCUGCAACCCGCCUACACGAAGCCGGAAUCGCUAGUAAUGGCGCAUCAGCUACGGCGCCGUGAAUACGUUCCCGGGUCUUGUACACACCGCCCGUCACAUCAUGGAAGCCGGUCGCACCCGAAGUAUCUGAAGCCAACCGCAAGGAGGCAGGGUCCUAAGGUGAGACUGGUAACUGGGAUGAAGUCGUAACAAGGUAGCCGUAGGGGAACCUGCGGCUG
RNAcentral lists this ribosomal RNA (1189 nucleotides) under human gut metagenome. RNAcentral describes it as "bacterial SSU rRNA". It matches the Rfam family "Bacterial small subunit ribosomal RNA", at positions 321 to 1520 of the family's 1533-position model. The record is from RNAcentral.